CUGCUGUAUGAAAGGAGGGAAAUUUAGCACUCCCUUUAACAAAUAUGAAAGAGGUCCUCAGGCCUGACAACAUGCAGAUGGUUAAGGCAUUGCCACCUACUUCCUGACAUCUAACCAUCAUUUUUG
This is a small nuclear RNA of Pteropus vampyrus (large flying fox), 126 nucleotides long. NCBI's taxonomy places the organism in Eukaryota, Metazoa, Chordata, Mammalia, Chiroptera, Pteropodidae. The record is from Ensembl.